Molecule: ribosomal RNA, 675 nt
Filed under: uncultured Nitrososphaerota archaeon
Lineage: Archaea; Thermoproteati; Nitrososphaerota
Description: bacterial SSU rRNA
Rfam family: Archaeal small subunit ribosomal RNA
Source: RNAcentral
GGCCCACCAAGACUAUUACAGGUACGGGCUCUGAGAGGAGUAGCCCGGAGAUGGGUACUGAGACACGGACCCAGGCCCUAUGGGGCGCAGCAGGCGAGAAAACUUUGCAAUGUGCGAAAGCACGACAAGGUUAAUCCGAGUGGUUUCUGCUAAAGGAACCUUUUGUCAGUCCUAGAAACACUGAUGAAUAAGGGGUGGGCAAGUUCUGGUGUCAGCCGCCGCGGUAAAACCAGCACCUCAAGUGGUCAGGAUGAUUAUUGGGCCUAAAGCAUCCGUAGCCGGCUCUGUAAGUUUUCGGUUAAAUCUGUACGCUCAACGUACAGGCUGCCGGGAAUACUGCAAAGCUGGGGAGUGGGAGAGGUAGACGGUACUCGGUAGGAAGGGGUAAAAUCCUUUGAUCUAUUGAUGACCACCUGUGGCGAAGGCGGUCUACCAGAACACGUCCGACGGUGAGGGAUGAAAGCUGGGGGAGCAAACCGGAUUAGAUACCCGGGUAGUCCCAGCUGUAAACCAUGCAAACUCAGUGAUGCAUUGGCUUGUGGCCAAUGCAGUGCUGCAGGGAAGCCGUUAAGUUUGCCGCCUGGGAAGUACGUACGCAAGUAUGAAACUUAAAGGAAUUGGCGGGGGAGCACCACAAGGGGUGAAGCCUGCGGUUCAAUUGGAGUCAACGCCGGG